UGGGGAAUCUUGCGCAAUGGGCGAAAGCCUGACGCAGCCAUGCCGCGUGAAUGAUGAAGGUCUUAGGAUUGUAAAAUUCUUUCACCGGGGACGAUAAUGACGGUACCCGGAGAAGAAGCCCCGGCUAACUUCGUGCCAGCAGCCGCGGUAAUACGAAGGGGGCUAGCGUUGCUCGGAAUUACUGGGCGUAAAGGGAGCGUAGGCGGACAUUUAAGUCAGGGGUGAAAUCCCGGGGCUCAACCUCGGAAUUGCCUUUGAUACUGGGUGUCUUGAGUGUGAGAGAGGUAUGUGGAACUCCGAGUGUAGAGGUGAAAAUUCGUAGAUAUUCGGAAGAACACCAGUGGCGAAGGCGACAUACUGGCUCAUUACUGACGCUGAGGCUCGAAAGCGUGGGGAGCAAACAGGGNUUAGAUACCCCUGGUAGUCCACGCCGUAAAACGAUGGAUUUGCUAGUUGUC
This 458-nucleotide ribosomal RNA is filed under the name uncultured bacterium. Its description in RNAcentral is "partial 16S ribosomal RNA". It matches the Rfam family "Bacterial small subunit ribosomal RNA", at positions 355 to 824 of the family's 1533-position model. The record is from RNAcentral.